GGUUUUGUGUGUCUGUAUGUGGUGUGAAAAUCUGGAACAGUCUGAGUUUACAACUGAAACAAUGCAAAAAUAUUCAUAGAUUUAAAUUUCUCUACAAACAGUUGGUCUGGUCACAGUAUAAUCAAUGAUGGUGUUAGUGUGCUCUGAAAUGUCUGUUCUCUUACCAUUGCUGGCAUGGAUUCCAAGGGGAAAAAAAAAAAAAAAAAAAAAAAAGUUUGUGUGUAUGUAUGUAUAUAUAUGUACAUGUGUGUGUAGAUAUAUAUGUAUGUAUGUAUAUGUAUGUGUGUUUGUUACUUGUAAUUAUUAUUGCCUGUUACCUGUGGUAACGCAAUUUAUAAUUAAUAUAUUCUGUAUUCAGUUAUGAAGGUUCUAUUUGUUUUGCUUGGGCGUAGCUGCGGGAAGUUUAUUGUUUUUGUUGAUAAGUGAAUAUAGGGGUGGGAUUUAAUAAGUUUUCUUCAUCCCACUCCUUUUCAGGUACAUUUUGUUGUUUGUUUUU
This is a long non-coding RNA of Oreochromis aureus, 496 nucleotides long. RefSeq lists it as uncharacterized. Lineage: Eukaryota; Metazoa; Chordata; Actinopteri; Cichliformes; Cichlidae. The transcript has 3 exons. The record is from RefSeq and is a predicted model, not a curated record.